This 1130-nucleotide long non-coding RNA is filed under the name Marmota monax (woodchuck). The record is from RNAcentral. Lineage: Eukaryota; Metazoa; Chordata; Mammalia; Rodentia; Sciuridae.
GAUGGCUUGUGUUGUUUUUGGCAGGUGAGGAGGCAGGGAGUCGGUGAGAAGGACUCUUCUUUGGAAGACAAGACCAGGGAGUGAAGCUGGAAUAGCCCCCCCCCAAGCAAGAGAAGCUUCUCCACAAACAGGGGCAGCCAAGCGAGACCGAGCCCCCUGCAGCCCAAAGCAUCUUUCCAAGCAGGGCCCGUGGGGCCUGACAGCUCAGGGGCCCAGUCAGCGGCUCAGGCCGUGAACGUCUGAACUCCUCGGUGGGGGGGGCGGCCCCUCCCUCCCUGGAGGCCAGCCUGAGUGGCAGGAAUCCUGAUUCUUUGGAGAGCGGCUUCCUCUCAGCUCUGUCACGCAAGAACGCUCUCUGCACCAACCCAUUCUGCCAAGUGACUUAAAGGGAUUUAAAAAAGAAAAAAAAAAUGUGGUAAAGAAAAAGGGGGUAAAAGCCACGCAGCCGCCUUUCAGAGGAGGUGGCCGCCUGCAGACAAAGGGCAAAAGUUGAAAGAGGGCCGUGGAAGUGAUGGAAGUGACAGGCAGCCAGGCUGCUCCCCGGAUGGGCACCGGUCGGUAGGGCAUGCCCCAGGAGCAGGAGGUCAGAACGCCCGCAGGCCCCGCCCGGGAGCCCCCCAGGCCGCGGGGCUGCCCCUGUGCACUCCGAGUGCACGACCCUUGCUGCAGGAGGAGCCAGCGGCGCCCCAGGUGGAGGACCACAAGGAUGCUGCCUGGGACCUGCAGCCUUGCCUGAACUGGGCAGGGGAGCCCGGAAGUCAGAGGCACAGGGUCCCUCUCCGCGUCCCCACGUGCCGCAGCAGCACUGCCCACCACCCAGGUCUGCAGGCUAUAACCAGAGCGGGCUUGGCCUGUCGGGGCCCUGGGGCAGGAAUGUGAGAGCAGCCCGCUGCCCAGCCCUCAGGAGCCCCUGGAGCAAGACCCCAGUCGUACCACAGGCUCCAGUGACAGCCGUGAAGGAGGUAAGACGGAGGGAGGUGGAGGUGGAAGGGCCCAGGAUGGCCCUCAGAGGUGCCCAAGGGUUCCUCAUGCCUAGAGAGGGCACAAGACAGCUGGGCCCCCUCCUCUAAAGGCCCCCGUCCUGACCAGGUCACACAGGGCAUCUCAGCAGAGCACCCGGGUCUGGGGCU